RNAcentral lists this long non-coding RNA (217 nucleotides) under Elaeis guineensis (African oil palm). Its description in RNAcentral is "long non-coding RNA (EGUI_LNC040642)". The record is from RNAcentral. Lineage: Eukaryota; Viridiplantae; Streptophyta; Magnoliopsida; Arecales; Arecaceae.
CUCUUUCCUUUCCUUUUCACGGGCGAAGCAAGCAUGAGAAAACCAACAUUGGGCUAGUGAGCCCAUUACAAAACUAGGCUAGUCAAAUGGACAAGGCCCUCACAUUACUUCACCCAUUCGGUGCAUGAGACACGUGAAUCCUCCAUUCACACAAACUUCACCAGCCACCAUAUAACCACUCAAAUUUAAAUCUUUUGGACAUGGCUAAUACACUAGG